This 686-nucleotide long non-coding RNA is filed under the name Rattus norvegicus (Norway rat). RNAcentral's name for it is "long non-coding RNA NONRATT020756". The record is from RNAcentral. Lineage: Eukaryota; Metazoa; Chordata; Mammalia; Rodentia; Muridae.
GCUCUGUGGAGGUUCAUGCAGACCUUUGUCCUUGCUCCCGAGGGCUCCACUGCCAACAAAUUCUAUGUUCACAAGGACAUCUUCAGACACCAAGAUGAGGUCUUUGGUGGCUUUGUCACAGAGCCUCAAGAGGAAUCUGAGGAAGAAGUAGAGGAACCUGAAGAAAGACAGCAGUCACCAGAGGUGGUUUCUGAUGAUUCCGAAACUUUCUAAGAUCAGACUGUCAGCAAUGACUUGGAGGAACAUUUAGAGGAGCCUGUCGUGGAACCGAACCAGAGCCAGAGCUAGAGCCGGAGUGGGAACCUGUGUCCUACACGCAAGAGGACAAGCCUGAGCUGCAUUGGAAGAAGCUGCUCCUGAGGAUGUGCAGAAGAGCACUUCCCGGGUCCCGGCAGAUGUGGCCUCAGCACAGGAAGACUUGAGGACAUUUUCUUGGGCAUCUGUGACUAGUAAGAACCUUCCUCCCAGUGGGGCUGUUCCAGUGACAGGGACACCACCUCAUAUGGUCAAAGUGCCAGCAUCACAGCCUCAUCCAGAAUCUAAGCCUGACUCUCAGAUCCCACCACAAAGGCCUCAGAGAGAUCAGAGAAUUUGAGAGCAGCGGAUCAAUAUCCCUCCUCAGAGAAGACCCCGGCCAAUUCGUGAGGCUGGUGAACCAGGAGAUGUGGAACCUCGAAGGAUGGUGA